This 226-nucleotide ribosomal RNA is filed under the name uncultured bacterium. RNAcentral describes it as "partial 16S ribosomal RNA". It matches the Rfam family "Bacterial small subunit ribosomal RNA", at positions 29 to 239 of the family's 1533-position model. The record is from RNAcentral.
AACGAACGCUGGCGGCGUGGAUAAGACAUGCAAGUCGAACGGAUUUUCCGCUGUAGCAAUACAGUGGGAGGUCAGUGGCGCAAGGGUGCGUAACACGUGGGCAACCUGCCCUGAAGUUGGGGAUAGCCCGCCGAAAGGCGGAUUAAUACCGAAUGUGGCUAGCUGCCGAGUGGUGGCGACGCUAAAGCUGGGGCGAACCUGGCGCUUCUGGAUGGGCCCGCGGCCU